AACGCUGGCGGCGUGCCUAACACAUGCAAGUCGAACGAGAAAGCUGGAGCAAUCCUAUGAGUAAAAGUGGCGACCGGGUGAGUAACACGUGACUAACCUACCCUGAAGUGGGGGAUAACUCCGGGAAACCGGGGCUAAUACCGCAUGAUAUCGCGAGGGGAAGAUCCUUGUGAUCAAAGGAGCAAUUCGCUGAAGGAGGGGGUCGCGGCUGAUUAGCUAGUUGGUAGGGUAACGGCCUACCAAGGCGAAGAUCAGUAGCCGGCCUGAGAGGGCGCACGGCCACACUGGAACUGAAACACGGUCCAGACUCCUACGGGAGGCAGCAGUGGGGAAUUUUGCGCAAUGGGGGAAACCCUGACGCAGCAACGCCGCGUGGAGGAUGAAGUCCCUUGGGAUGUAAACUCCUUUCGAUCGGGACGAUAAUGACGGUACCGGAAGAAGAAGCGCCGGCUAACUCUGUGCCAGCAGCCGCGGUAAUACAGAGGGUGCAAGCGUUGGUCGGAAUUAUUGGGCGUAAAGGGCGCGUAGGCGGUGCGGUAAGUCUGUAUUGAAAUCUCUGGGCUCAACUCAGAGUCUGCUGCAGAAACUGCCGUGCUUGAGUGUGGGAGA
RNAcentral lists this ribosomal RNA (609 nucleotides) under uncultured Acidobacteriota bacterium. RNAcentral's name for it is "bacterial SSU rRNA". It matches the Rfam family "Bacterial small subunit ribosomal RNA", at positions 32 to 655 of the family's 1533-position model. The record is from RNAcentral. Lineage: Bacteria; Pseudomonadati; Acidobacteriota.